This 412-nucleotide unclassified non-coding RNA is filed under the name soil metagenome. RNAcentral describes it as "partial contains 5.8S ribosomal RNA, internal transcribed spacer 2, and large subunit ribosomal RNA". The stretch from base 1 to 120 matches the Rfam family "5.8S ribosomal RNA", at positions 35 to 154 of the family's 154-position model. The record is from RNAcentral.
GAUGAAGAACGCAGCGAAAUGCGAUAAGUAAUGUGAAUUGCGGAAUUCAGUGAAUCAUCGAAUCUUUGAACGCACCUUGCGCUCUUUGGUAUUCCGAAGAGCAUGCCUGUUUGAGUGUCAUGAAAAUAUCAACCUUGACUUGGGUUUUGUGCUCUAGUCUCGGCUUGGAAUUGGGUGCUUGCCGCUUUUACGAGCGGAUCACCUUAAAUGUAUUAGCUGGAUCUGUCUUUGAGACUUGGUUUGACUUGGCGUAAUAAGUAUUUCGCUAAGGACAUUCUUCGGAGUGGCCUCGUUUCUAGGACGCUUGUCCGCUUUCCAAUACAAGUUCCACCUCGUGGACAUGACUUUUUAUUAUCUGGCCUCAAAUCAGGUAGGACUACCCGCUGAACUUAAGCAUAUCAAUAAGCGGAGG